GAUGAACGCUAGCGGGAGGCCUAAUACAUGCAAGUCGAACGGUAACAGGUAGCAAUACGCUGACGAGUGGCGCACGGGUGAGUAACACGUACACAACCUGCCUAUGACUGGGCAUAACUUCGGGAAACUGAAGCUAAUUCCCCAUAACACUGCAGAAAGGCAUCUUUCAGCAGUUAAAGCCCCCGGCGGUCAUAGAUGGGUGUGCGUUUGAUUAGCUAGUUGGUAAGGUAACGGCUUACCAAGGCUACGAUCAAUAACUGGUCUGAGAGGAUGAUCAGUCACACGGGCACUGAGACAC
This 298-nucleotide ribosomal RNA is filed under the name uncultured bacterium. RNAcentral's name for it is "partial 16S ribosomal RNA". It matches the Rfam family "Bacterial small subunit ribosomal RNA", at positions 28 to 327 of the family's 1533-position model. The record is from RNAcentral.